Molecule: ribosomal RNA, 253 nt
Filed under: uncultured bacterium
Lineage: Bacteria
Description: partial 16S ribosomal RNA
Rfam family: Archaeal small subunit ribosomal RNA
Source: RNAcentral
UACCAGCACCCCGAGUGGUCGGGACGUUUAUUGGGCCUAAAGCAUCCGUAGCCGGUUCUGCAAGUCUUCCGUUAAAUCCACCUGCUUAACAGAUGGGCCGCGGAAGAUACUAUAGAGCUAGGAGGCGGGAGAGGCAAGCGGUACUCGAUGGGUAGGGGUAAAAUCCGUUGAUCCAUUGAAGACCACCAGUGGCGAAGGCGGCUUGCCAGAACGCGCUCGACGGUGAGGGAUGAGAGCUGGGGGAGCAAACCGG